AUGAGACUUCAUUUGACUGCACCAUAAAUAAAAAAAGAAUCAAAUUUCUAUUACCAUAUUUUGUGAACUUUUUCAUUUAGUUCUUUUAAUUAUACACAAUAAUUCGUAAAAGAAGUGGAUGUUUAGCUUCAUUGACUUGAACUUAUUGUUGGGGCUAUGUACACACCUCCACAAAUAUAACUCACAGGCUCAGGCUGAGGGUCCAUCAGAUAUUGAUCGAAGAUUGGCUCUAAAUAGAAGAGAGUCAAGAAACCACAGCACCUAUCCAACAAAAAAAAUGAAAAAAUAACAAGCAAGCACACUUAGGAUUUUUAGUCAUGAAAUUAAUAAAUAAUAUGGGAGAAGAGCAAUAUCAUGUAAAAGUGAGACAGCAAUUUAGGGAUACUUUUAGAAACCUCAAAUUUAUCCAUGUAUGACCAUAUAAUUCAUAAGAAGUUGUGCUUAAACAAAUGUAGUAUGCUAGACAUGAGACACAAACCUACACAAAGAAACCAAAUUCAUAAAGAUAAGAGGUGCUAAGCAGUAAGAAAACUGUGUAUGCCAAUCCAAGUAGGCUCUAGAGAAACAUAAUAAUCGCGUUCUAGCUAAUUGAAUGUAUACAUGAAGCAAAAAAAGAACAAUUUGCAAACUGAAACUACAAAAAUUAAUUCUAAAACUAAUCAAAUGAAUAUUCUAAAGCAUUCAGGCCUAUGAAAAUUCAAAAAGGUUAGCUAAAACCCACAAGGCAUGCGAUGUCAUCAUAAAAUGACAAGAAAACGUGUUCUCAUGAAUAAAUAGUACAAAAUAAAAUUUAGAAUGGAUGAAUAGAUGUGCAUGGCUCUUCAAAUGAAAAUCAAAAUUAAUCAGGAAAAGGGAAGAAAUGCCAACAAAUCCUGAAAACUAACAGACAUUCAUACACCUAUACCAAUAGCAUGACUUAUAUGCAUACAGAAAAUCUAACACAUAUAAGGGAACCAAAACAAAUCAAGCCCCAUAUACAAGUUGAAUUAAGCAGAAUAUUCAGUUCUGAAGGGAGCUGAACAUGUCCCUAAUCCAGAGAAGAGACUGGACCUAUUGAGGCUAUAUCCUCAAACACCAACCUCUGUGACCCGCAAACAUGUGUAAUUCAAUUGGAUGCAACGAGAAAAACCAAACUCAUAUGAAUUAAUGUGAAUGCCUAAAAAAUGAUCAAGCAAUUCAGACCGUGAUACGUGAAAAAUGUAAAAAAUUACAAAAACCUAACAGGACAAAACAGACAGAACGGGAAACGGAAGCAAACGGAAGAUAUCACCGGAGAAAACGAAAUUCCGUUCAAGAAAAUUAGGACGCCUGAGCCUCAUACAAAAUACAAAAGGGAAAGACACGCAAUAAGCUCCACUCUGUCUGAACUUAAAAACCUAAUACAUUCAUAAUGAUUGAGCAAAACCAGACCAAACAAUCAAUUCUGAUUCAUUGAAAGUCUCAACUUCAAACGUCGAAUCAUAAACACAAAACGAACAAUUAGGGAAAGGGGAAUCAAAAGGAUCAGUGAUUUACCUGGCUUGAAGAGUCCCGAAAGGUCCAGCUGCAAUACAGUCUUUAGCCGCGCGGUUGUUCCAGAGGAAGACGGCCAAUGAAAAAAUAAUAAUAAUAAUAUGAAUUUAAACUUAAAUUAU
This 1634-nucleotide long non-coding RNA is filed under the name Carica papaya (papaya). RNAcentral describes it as "long non-coding RNA (CPAP_LNC000620)". Lineage: Eukaryota; Viridiplantae; Streptophyta; Magnoliopsida; Brassicales; Caricaceae. The record is from RNAcentral.